This 497-nucleotide ribosomal RNA is filed under the name uncultured bacterium. Its description in RNAcentral is "partial 16S ribosomal RNA". It matches the Rfam family "Bacterial small subunit ribosomal RNA", at positions 28 to 507 of the family's 1533-position model. The record is from RNAcentral.
GAUGAACGCUGGCGGCGUGCCUAAUACAUGCAAGUCGAGCGAACAGACGAGGAUCUUUCUCCUCUUACAUUAGCUGCGGACGGGUUAGUAACACGUUGAUCACCUACCUUUAAGACUGGGAUAACUUCGUGAAACCGGAUCUAAUACCGGAUAAUAUAUUGAUCCGCAUUGUUCCAUAGUUAAAGACGGUUUUGCUGUCACUUAUAGAUGGAUCCGCGCCGCAUUAGCUAGUUGGUAAGGUAACGGCUUACCAAGGCAACGAUGCGUAGCCGACCUGAGAGGGUGAUCGGCCACACUGGAACUGAGACACGGUCCAGACUCCUACGGGAGGCAGCAGUAGGGAAUCUUCCGCAAUGGGCGAAAGCUUGAAGGAGCAACGCCGCGUGAGUGAUGAAGGUCUUCGGAUCGUAAAACUCUGUUAUAAGGGAAGAACAAAUGUGAAAGUAACUAUGCACGGCUUGACGGUACCAAAUCAGAAAGCCACGGCUAAAUACGUG